This is a long non-coding RNA of Kogia breviceps (pygmy sperm whale), 337 nucleotides long. RefSeq lists it as uncharacterized. NCBI's taxonomy places the organism in Eukaryota, Metazoa, Chordata, Mammalia, Artiodactyla, Physeteridae. The record is from RefSeq and is a predicted model, not a curated record.
AAGCAAGCCUGCACCCUCCAAGCUGCACUACUACAACUGGGAGACAAGCCUCAACCAGAAGUCCCUGAAGAAAUUCUACAAAAGGUUGGUGAUUAAUCAAAGCUGGAGUUAUUUUACAGCGAUAGCACUGUGCAUGUGCAAGACAGAAACCUGUGUCUCCAGGAUGACCUUGGAACCAAGAAUCUUCAGUCUACAGAACUCAAAGAAUAGAAAUCUUGCCACCAGAGCCCUUUACAAAUGCUGAUACCCCUGAAACAUCUUAUACCAAACUCCAUCUCAACAUCUGCUUCCAAAGAACCCAACCUUAGAGGUUAUUUAAUCUGAACUCUAUCUAUUU